UACGGAAGGGGCUAGCGUUGUUCGGAAUCACUGGGCGUAAAGCGCGCGUAGGCGGCCGGUCGAGUGAGGCGUGAAAGUCCUGGGCUCAACCCGGGGACGGCGCUUCAGACUGUCCGGCUGGAGUCCGGGAGAGGGUGGUGGAAUUCCGAGUGUAGAGGUGAAAUUCGUAGAUAUUCGGAGGAACACCGGUGGCGAAGGCGGCCACCUGGCCCGGUACUGACGCUCAAGCGCGAAAGCGUGGGGAGCAAACAGGAUUAGAUACCCUGGUAGUCCACGCCGUAAACGAUGGGUGCUAGAUGUCGGGGGGCUUGCCCUUCGGUGUCGUAGCCAACGCGUUAAGCACCCCGCCUGGGGAGUACGGCCGCAAGGUUAAA
RNAcentral lists this ribosomal RNA (374 nucleotides) under uncultured bacterium. RNAcentral's name for it is "bacterial SSU rRNA". It matches the Rfam family "Bacterial small subunit ribosomal RNA", at positions 524 to 898 of the family's 1533-position model. The record is from RNAcentral.